GGGCCAUAGCUCAGUGGUAGAGCAUCUGCUUUGCAUGCAGAAGGUCCCAGGUUCAAUCCCUGGCAUGUCUA
RNAcentral lists this transfer RNA (71 nucleotides) under Podarcis lilfordi (Lilford's wall lizard). RNAcentral's name for it is "tRNA.Ala". It matches the Rfam family "tRNA". From Rfam's summary of the family: Transfer RNA (tRNA) molecules are approximately 80 nucleotides in length. Their secondary structure includes four short double-helical elements and three loops (D, anti-codon, and T loops). Lineage: Eukaryota; Metazoa; Chordata; Lepidosauria; Squamata; Lacertidae. The record is from RNAcentral.